Long non-coding RNA from Sorghum bicolor (sorghum), 1814 nucleotides. RefSeq lists it as uncharacterized. The transcript has 3 exons. The record is from RefSeq and is a predicted model, not a curated record. Lineage: Eukaryota; Viridiplantae; Streptophyta; Magnoliopsida; Poales; Poaceae.
ACUUAUGUGGCACCCUAUUUAAUAUGCAUGACACUCUCAUGAAACAUGCAUUGAGACUGGCCUAACCCCCGCACCCUCUCCCAGUCUCCCCUGCCGCACAGACAGCUGCCAGCACCCGCUCCAAUCAAAAAAAAAAUUGACGCCGCCUGCAAACGCUCACACGACCGGCCCCUAUCAUCGCCCCCGGCCGGCCGCCGGCUGCCCUCACUGAUGCCCCAAGGGUGCGCCCCCUCUUUCUGGUACACGCGCACACGUGCUCUGGGAGGGUGCUCUGGCCCGAUGGAUCUGCUUGUUUCUUUGUGCAGGGAGCCAGCGACCAACAAGAAGGCCACGAGCAUCCAGGUACUAGCCUGUAUAGAUCCGUGCAUUUGCUCUAAUGUUUUGAUGUCUUUUGGUGGAAUAUUUCUUGAUGGAUUCGUAUGGCAUGCUGUGCUUAUAGAUAGAAUAGUCUGCUGGACAGUUCUGAAUUUUUACAUGUGUUUACAUAGUGCUAUGUGGCUGUCAGUUUGUACAGCUCGAAUAAGAGGCUAAAAAUAAGAUAUCUCAAGCUGGCUCCCCGUGUCUCCCUCGGUUGGCUCAGAUCCAAAAGAAGGGAGCUGAAUAUAUCUCCCUCUGCACUUGUAUUUGAGUUCUUCUUGAUUAAUUUCACUAGUAUCUGCAGUUACAUAGAUAUAUUAGUAGACCCAUUUGUUCAUCGAUAAUCUUACUUUUGCUGACAAUGCAGACAUAUUUUAGUACAAUGUGCUCUACAAUUGGAUUAACAUUUCUGAGCUCAUUCAUCACCCACAUUUUUGGUUGUUCUAUUUGGAUUUGACAGAUCUGCAAAUAAAAUGGUUUUUUGAUUUUUGUUUACCUGCUAGUAUGUGUGCUGCUAAUUAGUACAUAAGUUCCUUGUUCAUGUGCAAGCCUGAGAAGAAGUCCCUUUUUCUUAUUGAAUCUUGAAACCAUAUUACCAUUAUAGUUCUUUAAGAUGUAAGCUUCUUUUUUCUUAUAUAUUUGAGAUUUGUUACCUAAAUCAUCGAUCUAUGGUUUCCUCUAUCGUAGCCGACAAGAAGAAGUAGCUCCUUGGAUCUUUGCCCUAAGAAAAGCCGUAGCAUCUACAUACACCUUCUCACCAAGCAUUAGGAGCCAGCUUGUGGAUUAGACUUAGGAGUAUCAUCAGAUAAAGUGCUCUCUACAGCUUCACUACAGUUGUUGAUGCUUGUCUUCCAUGGAAUCUUAUGUUGUUGAUGCUUGUCUUCCAUGGAAUCUUAUGUUGAAUGCGAUUGACGAUAUGUAUGCACAAUGUGCGUGAAUUUGAUGCCAUGAUCUACUUUUGUGUUUAUAUUUAUAGAGUCUAUUUGGUCAGCUUUUGGUUGUCCCUAGUAAAAGCUGAUGGAUAAAUCUUGGAUUGAUGAUGAUGCUAGAUUGGCAAAGAAGUUAUACUCCAUGCACUCCAUAGAGAUGAACCUGUGGCCAAGGAAAUAGUUAUUUGAGUUAAUCCUAGCACCAUGCACGCAGGACUUGCUCUUGGAAGGAAAUGCUGUGAAGUUGUUAUCAGGUUUUGUGAUGAAAAGGGAUGCAAAGCUACCUCGCCCAUAUCCUGGUGUGCAAGAGAUGGCGGAUGCUAAGGACCUGUCAAUUGCAUGGCCAUAUAACAAGGUAGUGGGAAGAAGUAGCUGGAAGUAGAAUGCAGCCAAUGAUUGGAUCAAAGUGUUCAUGUCAACGUGUUUUUGUCAUUUUAGCUAUAGAUGAAAACUUGGGUUGGACUUAGGGGGUGUUUGGGACUGCUCUACAAACUCUGCUCCAUAAACUCCACCAUGGAGCAGCUCCAC